UAAGAAAAGGGUUUUCCGUAGGUGAACCUGCGGAAGGAUCAUUACCGAGUGCGGGCCCCUCGGGGCCCAACCUCCCACCCGUGUUGCCCGAACCUAUGUUGCCUCGGCGGGCCCCGCGCCCGCCGACGGCCCCCCUGAACGCUGUCUGAAGUUGCAGUCUGAGACCUAUAACGAAAUUAGUUAAAACUUUCAACAACGGAUCUCUUGGUUCCGGCAUCGAUGAAGAACGCAGCGAAAUGCGAUAACUAAUGUGAAUUGCAGAAUUCAGUGAAUCAUCGAGUCUUUGAACGCACAUUGCGCCCUCUGGUAUUCCGGAGGGCAUGCCUGUCCGAGCGUCAUUGCUGCCCUCAAGCCCGGCUUGUGUGUUGGGCCCCGUCCCCCCCGCCGGGGGGACGGGCCCGAAAGGCAGCGGCGGCACCGCGUCCGGUCCUCGAGCGUAUGGGGCUUCGUCACCCGCUCUAGUAGGCCCGGCCGGCGCCAGCCGACCCCCAACCUUUAAUUAUCUCAGGUUGACCUCGGAUCAGGUAGGGAUACCCGCUGAACUUAAGCAUAUCAAUAAGCGGAGGAAAAGAAACCAACAGGGAUUGCCCCAGUAACG
This 598-nucleotide ribosomal RNA is filed under the name Penicillium citrinum. Its description in RNAcentral is "eukaryotic LSU rRNA". The stretch from base 185 to 338 matches the Rfam family "5.8S ribosomal RNA". The record is from RNAcentral. Lineage: Eukaryota; Fungi; Ascomycota; Eurotiomycetes; Eurotiales; Aspergillaceae.